This is a long non-coding RNA of Hordeum vulgare subsp. vulgare (domesticated barley), 426 nucleotides long. RefSeq lists it as uncharacterized. The transcript is spliced from 3 exons. Lineage: Eukaryota; Viridiplantae; Streptophyta; Magnoliopsida; Poales; Poaceae. The record is from RefSeq and is a predicted model, not a curated record.
GCGCCGGCAAGGGGUUCAACAAUGGCCAGAGGCAGUGGCGGAUUGCUCUCAUAUCUUGCUCCCAAUUCCUCUGUUUAUAGGGAAAAAAGUAGUAUGCCUGACCACGGUGGAAUUUAGUACGUGCUCUCCCCUCAGUUUCAUCUUACUUAUGUUUUUCAAUUGCAGUGUGUUGCUUCACACCCUGAGACCAGGAUCCCGUUCUUGAAUGCUCACAUCCCACUGUACAUGUACCCGUUCCUGAAUACUACCAGCAAGACAAGACCUUUUGAGUACUUGAGGCUUACCAGCUUGGGUGUUAUUGGAAACUGCUGGAUGUUGAGUGUGAAGCGACCAAAGAGACCAAAUUGUCUGAAGCGACAGGGGCCUAAGUGGAGGAGUAGAUCAGCUGAAGUCCAUAACCAGUAAGAGAAUGUGAGAUUAGGAUCA